AGAGUUUGAUCCUGGCUCAGAACGAACGCUGGCGGCAGGCCUAACACAUGCAAGUCGAGCGAAGCCCUCGGGCUUAGCGGCGGACGGGUGAGUAACGCGUGGGAACGUGCCCUUCUCUACGGAAUAGUCCCGGGAAGCUGGGUUUAAUACCGUAUACGCCCUUCGGGGGAAAGAUUUAUCGGAGAAGGAUCGGCCCGCGUUGGAUUAGGUAGUUGGUGGGGUAAUGGCCUACCAAGCCGACGAUCUAUAGCUGGUUUGAGAGGAUGAUCAGCCACACUGGGACUGAGACACGGCCCAGACUCCUACGGGAGGCAGCAGUGGGGAAUCUUAGACAAUGGGGGAAACCCUGAUCUAGCCAUGCCGCGUGAGUGAAGAAGGCCCUAGGGUCGUAAAGCUCUUUCGCCAGGGAUGAUAAUGACAGUACCUGGUAAAGAAACCCCGGCUAACUCCGUGCCAGCAGCCGCGGUAAUACGGAGGGGGUUAGCGUUGUUCGGAAUUACUGGGCGUAAAGCGCGCGUAGGCGGGCUGUUAAGUCGGGGGUGAAAUCCCGGGGCUCAACCCCGGAACUGCCUCCGAUACUGGCAGCCUAGAGGUCGAGAGAGGUGAGUGGAAUUCCGAGUGUAGAGGUGAAAUUCGUAGAUAUUCGGAGGAACACC
RNAcentral lists this ribosomal RNA (656 nucleotides) under uncultured bacterium. Its description in RNAcentral is "bacterial SSU rRNA". It matches the Rfam family "Bacterial small subunit ribosomal RNA", at positions 8 to 710 of the family's 1533-position model. The record is from RNAcentral.